RNAcentral lists this ribosomal RNA (444 nucleotides) under Campylobacter jejuni. RNAcentral describes it as "bacterial LSU rRNA". It matches the Rfam family "Bacterial large subunit ribosomal RNA", at positions 1897 to 2340 of the family's 2925-position model. Lineage: Bacteria; Pseudomonadati; Campylobacterota; Epsilonproteobacteria; Campylobacterales; Campylobacteraceae. The record is from RNAcentral.
UAGCGAAGCUCUUGAUCGAAGCCCGAGUAAACGGCGGCCGUAACUAUAACGGUCCUAAGGUAGCGAAAUUCCUUGUCGGUUAAAUACCGACCUGCAUGAAUGGCGUAACGAGAUGGGAGCUGUCUCAAAGAGGGAUCCAGUGAAAUUGUAGUGGAGGUGAAAAUUCCUCCUACCCGCGGCAAGACGGAAAGACCCCGUGGACCUUUACUACAGCUUGACACUGCUACUUGGAUAAGAAUGUGCAGGAUAGGUGGGAGGCUUUGAGUAUAUGACGCCAGUUGUAUACGAGCCAUUGUUGAGAUACCACUCUUUCUUAUUUGGGUAGCUAACCAGCUUGAGUUAUCCUCAAGUGGGACAAUGUCUGGUGGGUAGUUUGACUGGGGCGGUCGCCUCCCAAAUAAUAACGGAGGCUUACAAAGGUUGGCUCAGAACGGUUGGAAAUCG